RNAcentral lists this transfer RNA (25 nucleotides) under Saponaria pamphylica. Its description in RNAcentral is "partial tRNA-Lys". The record is from RNAcentral. Lineage: Eukaryota; Viridiplantae; Streptophyta; Magnoliopsida; Caryophyllales; Caryophyllaceae.
UCACGGUAGAGUAUUCGGCUUUUAA